RNAcentral lists this long non-coding RNA (387 nucleotides) under Vigna radiata. Its description in RNAcentral is "long non-coding RNA (VRAD_LNC009463)". Lineage: Eukaryota; Viridiplantae; Streptophyta; Magnoliopsida; Fabales; Fabaceae. The record is from RNAcentral.
CCGGCCACUCUAUCACCUUAUUCUACUUCCCUAUAAAAUAAUAUCCUAUGUUAACCAGAAUUUUAGGUUUAACUACUUUUAUGGAAGAUCAAUUACAAAUUUUAAGGUUAAUUCAACUCAUAUACAUAUUAAGUUAGAAAUCAGAUAUUGGUUAAUCUGAUAUGCAUGCAGCAGAGCUCUGAGUAAGCAAAGUGGUUAAAUAUUGUAGGUAGUGAGUGCAGUAAAUUCCUAAAGGUGGGCCAUUCUCAAAUCAUUGGUUAUUGGUGGUUCCAUGAAAUCAUUUGAAAGCACUUCCAAAAUAGUCAAACUCCAUAUUACUCUCACACAGUGAAACUGCUUAAUUCAUCGCCAAACAUUUUCAUCCUUUAUAAACCAAUAUUAUCAUGC